RNAcentral lists this ribosomal RNA (494 nucleotides) under uncultured bacterium. Its description in RNAcentral is "partial 16S ribosomal RNA". It matches the Rfam family "Bacterial small subunit ribosomal RNA", at positions 28 to 507 of the family's 1533-position model. The record is from RNAcentral.
GACGAACGCUGGCGGCGUGCUUAACACAUGCAAGUCGAACGGUGAAGCGCCUUCCUUUUUGGUGGGUGUGGAUGAGUGGCGAACGGGUGAGUAACACGUGAGUAACCUGCCCCCUCCUUCUGGAUAACCGCAUGAAAGUGUGGCUAAUACGGGAUAUUCUGGGUCUGUCGCAUGAUGGGUCUGGGAAAGAUUUUGUUUCGGUGGGGGAUGGGCUCGCGGCCUAUCAGCUUGUUGGCGGGGUGAUGGCCUACCAAGGCGGCGACGGGUAGCCGGCCUGAGAGGGAGGACGGUCACAAAGGAACUGAGCCACGGACCAGACUGCAAGGGGAUGCAGCAGGGAGGAGUAUGGCACAAUGGGGGCAAGCCUGAGGCAGCGACGCCGCGGGAGGGAUGGAGGCCUUCGGGUUGUAAACCUCUUUCACCAGUGAAGCAGGCCUGCAUCGUGUAUGGGUGGGUUGACGGUAGCUGGAUAAGAAGCGCCGGCUAACUACGUG